AACUGAUACUACCUGCGGGAACCUGCGGAGGGAUCAUUAGUGAACGCCCUCACGGGCUUAUAACUAUUCCAAACCUCUGUGAACCGUGCCCUUCGGGGCUAUUUUACAAACAUGGCGUAAUGAACGUCAUAUAUCAUAACAAAACAAAACUUUUAACAACGGAUCUCU
Molecule: unclassified non-coding RNA, 168 nt
Filed under: soil metagenome
Description: partial contains 5.8S ribosomal RNA, internal transcribed spacer 2, and large subunit ribosomal RNA
Source: RNAcentral